GAGGAAGUGAUCAACGGCCAUUUUAUGGACGCUGCCAGACUGCAAGUUAUAACUGCGUGGGAGAGACCGUUUCACUUGGCAAAAACGAGGAGCUGUUAGAACGCCACAAAAGGAUGAUUCUGUGGAAAUGAGGAGAGAGGUUGUGAUUCGUGGAUUGGUGGUGUACCUCGGAGAAAAGGAGGAGAAUCUCUUUCAAGAGCAGUUGGCUGAUGGGGAUCUCACCAAGGAAGUGAUGAAGAUCAUUGUUACCAGAAGUGCCACAUCUGAUCCAGCCAGUGCACGGAUUGUAAUCGAGGGAACAGAAGUCCUGGAAGACGUGGACGUACCCAGGGCCUGUGCCUUGCUGAUGGGGCUGAUUUAUGCAAUUAAUCUCAGCUACCCAAAAGUACUGAAAAACACUUUUGAAGUUUUUCAAAAGAUAUUUCUUCAGCUGGAUGACCUGAAAGCAAAUCCUAAAGUAAUGUCUUUGAAAAGUAAACUGCUGUAAAAUGUGCAGAUUGUCCAAUAAUGCAGGAAAUGUUGCAUUUUGUUUGUGAAGUUUUUUUCUAUAUACAUUUACUUGAAGUACACUUAAAGUUCAAACCUGAAUUAUACUAAAAGUUAAAUGAAAGUUAAUUUCUCAGGUGCUGUUCUAAAAAUGAGAAGAAUUCAGCAGCUAAUACAGUUAUGCUCAAAAUAAUAGCAGUGUCUUAAAAAGGUAAGUGUCCAACUUCUUCAAAUAAAUUGUACUUAAAUGAACAGAAAUGCAUUGUGGACACUGAAAUUGGAAAAAAUAAUUAGGGGCGAAGCUGCGAGGCACCUUAAGUGUUUGUAGGUUUUCUUAGGUUUUACUUGCAAAAACUUGCUGUGCUUGCCUCUGUCAGUCAGCCUCUGUGUCUGCCUUGUCGGUUCUAUCUGUUGCCUUGGCAACUUGGGCUGGCGUCUUAGGCGGGUUCACUGCUUGGCCCCGCAUUGCUGCUUGUAGCUAUAUUUCAGUUUUUUAUUUCACAGAAUGUCAAGAAAUGCAAUGUUCAAAAAAUAGCAUUGACCUCUGUCUUUGAAAACUAUUUUUUGAACAUUACUUUUCUUCAUAUUCUGUGAAAUAAGAUAAAUUAAUUACUUUCUCCAAUUUCUUGCUUCGAAAUAGAAUGUACAGUGUCCCUAAUGCAUUUGUGUUCAUUAAAGUACAAUUUAUUUGAAGAUUAUUUGACAUUUACUUACCUUUUUACAGACACUGCUAUUAUUCUUACCAUAACUGUAUAUAUGCACUUUUGUAUGGCUUUGCUUUUUUUUUACUUUUGCACUUUUGUAAGGUUGGCCUUUAUACACUCUAUUUUGAACAAGUUUAGUACAUUUAAAACAGACCAACUGGAAGAACACUAUUCAGAACUGUUCAGCAGACAGUAAAUGGAAGACAAUUUUGGCACAUGUGCAGUGCAAAAGGCUGCCAAUUUGUUUGGCAUGCAUUGAGGUCUUAAGCAGGCAAUUUUCUAUCUUCUUCUGUAUGUCUAUGUUCAGCAGACAGUAAAUGAAAGACACUGUGAGACGCUGCUUAUAUUUGUUGACCUUGGUUUCAAUAAAUAGACACUCUUGGAAA
Molecule: long non-coding RNA, 1576 nt
Organism: Neoarius graeffei (lesser salmon catfish)
Lineage: Eukaryota; Metazoa; Chordata; Actinopteri; Siluriformes; Ariidae
Exons: 4
Source: RefSeq, a predicted model, not a curated record